This 577-nucleotide ribosomal RNA is filed under the name uncultured bacterium. Its description in RNAcentral is "bacterial SSU rRNA". The stretch from base 1 to 511 matches the Rfam family "Bacterial small subunit ribosomal RNA", at positions 338 to 873 of the family's 1533-position model. The record is from RNAcentral.
CCUACGGGAGGCAGCAGUGGGGAAUCUUGCACAAUGGAGGAAACUCUGAUGCAGCGAUGCCGCGUGAGUGAAGAAGGCCUUUGGGUUGUAAAGCUCUUUUGUAGGGGAAGAUAAUGACUGUACCCUAAGAAUAAGGUCCGGCUAACUUCGUGCCAGCAGCCGCGGUAAUACGAAGGGACCUAGCGUAGUUCGGAAUUACUGGGCGUAAAGCGCGCGUAGGCCGUUGAGUUAGUUAAUUGUGAAAUCCCAAAGCUUAACUUUGGAACUGCAAUUAAAACUGCUCGACUAGAGUUUGAUAGAGGAAAGCGGAAUACAUAGUGUAGAGGUGAAAUUCGUAGAUAUUAUGUAGAACACCAGUUGCGAAGGCGGCUUUCUGGAUCAACACUGACGCUGAGGCGCGAAAGUAUGGGUAGCAAAGAGGAUUAGAUACCCUCGUAGUCCAUACCAUAAACGAUGAUUGCUAGAUGUUGGAAAUUUAUUUUCAGUAUCGCANCUACGCAUANANAUCGCCGUGGAGUACGACGCAGACUAACUACAAGAAUAGAGCGNGAGACGNGCGACGACGACACGAGGAGAG